CCUACGGGUGGCAGCAGUGGGGAAUAUUGGGCAAUGGGCGCAAGCCUGACCCAGCAACGCCGCGUGAAGGAAGAAGGCCCUCGGGUUGUAAACUUCUUUUAACAGGGACGAAGAAAGUGACGGUACCUGUUGAAUAAGCCACGGCUAACUACGUGCCAGCAGCCGCGGUAAUACGUAGGUGGCAAGCGUUAUCCGGAUUUACUGGGUGUAAAGGGCGUGUAGGCGGGAGGGCAAGUCAGACGUGAAAUCCAAGGGCUCAACCCUGGACCUGCGUUUGAAACUGUUUUUCUUGAGUUCUGGGGAGGCAGGCGGAAUGCCUGGUGUAGCGGUGAAAUGCGUAGAGAUAAGGAGGAACACCGGUGGCGAAGGCGGCCUGCUGGACAUCAACUGACGCUGAGGCGCGAAAGCGUGGGGAGCAAACAGGAUUAGAUACCCUGGUAGUC
RNAcentral lists this ribosomal RNA (443 nucleotides) under uncultured bacterium. Its description in RNAcentral is "partial 16S ribosomal RNA". It matches the Rfam family "Bacterial small subunit ribosomal RNA", at positions 338 to 795 of the family's 1533-position model. The record is from RNAcentral.